GAAAGUGGAAUUCCUAGUGUAGCGGUGAAAUGCGUAGAGAUUAGGAAGAACACCAGUGGCGAAGGCGACUUUCUGGACUGUAACUGACACUGAGAUACGAAAGCGUGGGUAGCAAACAGGAUUAGAUCCCCUGGUAGCCCACGCCGUAAACGAUGAAUACUAGGUGUCGGGGGGUACCACCCUCGGUGCCGCAGCAAACGCAUUAAGUAUUCCGCCUGGGGAGUACGGUCGCAAGAUUAAAACUCAAAGGAAUUGACGGGGACCCGCACAAGCAGCGGAGCAUGUGGUUUAAUUCGAAGCAACGCGAAGAACCUUACCUAGACUUGACAUCUCCUGAAUUACUCUUAAUCGAGGAAGUCCCUUCGGGGACAGGAAGACAGGUGGUGCAUGGUUGUCGUCAGCUCGUGUCGUGAGAUGUUGGGUUAAGUCCCGCAACGAGCGCAACCCUUAUUGUUAGUUGCUACUAUUAAGUUAAGCACUCUAACGAGACUGCCGCGGUUAACGUGGAGGAAGGUGGGGAUGACGUCAAAUCAUCAUGCCCCUUAUGUCUAGGGCUACACACGUGCUACAAUGGCUGGUACAACGAGCAGCAAACCCG
RNAcentral lists this ribosomal RNA (598 nucleotides) under Clostridium botulinum C/D str. BKT2873. RNAcentral's name for it is "bacterial SSU rRNA". It matches the Rfam family "Bacterial small subunit ribosomal RNA", at positions 657 to 1257 of the family's 1533-position model. The record is from RNAcentral. Lineage: Bacteria; Bacillati; Bacillota; Clostridia; Eubacteriales; Clostridiaceae.